AGGGCCCGCCCCCGCCCCCAGCCGUUCGGGCGUUCGCCCCUUCUGGGGCCCCCCUGCCCUGCUUCUGUGUGCUCAGCUCGCGUCGUGCAGUCCUCCCCACAGCGCCCGCGACCCUUCGCCUCUCAACCUGACUCCUUUGCAGCUCCUCCCACCCGCCCCACAUGAAGCCCAGCCCCCACAACCUCUUACUUCUGCCCCUGAAAAAUGGUUGUGAGCAGCGGAGGAGCUGGUUGAUACGUGUAGGUUGUAGGUUUUUAACUUCUGCUUUGGUGGAGUGGGAGGAAAGAAUCGAAGACCGGCCCCACUCUCUUCCCCGUCCAUCAUUGUCUCCACUGGCUUUCUGGGUGUCCACCUAUAAUGGGAGUCUGGAAAAAUUCAGUGCUUGGACUCUGCUUUCAAGAAUGUGGUUGACCAUGACUAACUGGAGCCAUUGAAAAUGAAACUGGGCAAGGUGCAGUGGCUCACACCUAUAAUCCCAGCACUUCGGGAGGCCAAACGGGAGGAUUACCUGAGGCCACAAGUUUGAGACCAGCCUGGACAACAUAGACCCUGUCUCUAUUUAAAAAAAAAAGAAAGUGAAACUGCAGGUCAGGGGGACUGCUGUAAUGAAGAAAAUACCAAUCCAUCACAAACUCUGUCGGAAAACAGAAGAGGAGGGAACAUUUCUCAACUUAUUUUAUGAGGCCAGCAUUACAUUAAUACCAAAGCCAGACAAAUUAUUAUAAGAAAAAAACAAAGAUCAAUAUCCCUCAUGAACAUUGAUGCAAAAAUCCUUAACUAGAUAGUUGCAAAAAAAAAUCCAGUAAUACAUAAAAGGAAUAAUACAUCAUAACCAAAUGGGGUUUGUCACAGGUUGGUUUCAUAUUUGAAAAUAUCCAUUCACAAUAUUAAUAAAUAAUAGGGUAAAGCUAUAUGGUCCUCUACAGUUGGCAAAUGGGAAGGGAAGGUAGAAGGCGAAAGCUCCUGGGGUUUUUAUGUAUAUGCUUGUCCCUCCCACCCAGAAUCACAACUUGUCAGAAUUCACUUUUCAAAGUUAGGCCUUCAUGAUAGGCACAUUCUUUAAAAGAAAAUGUUUAAUGUGAAACAUCAUACAUACACAGAAAAGUGCUUCCCUUCCCAAUAUAUAGAUCACACUGAUUGAUCACAAUUGUGUGUAAUCACCUCACAAGUCUAGAAAUAUUAAUAUUGACAGCACCCCAGAAGUGACUCUUAUGUCCUUUCCUACUUUUCUUUUUCCUCAACGCUAACCACCCUCUCCACUUGUAACACCAUAGAUUACUCUGUUUCUUCACUUUAUGGAAAUAUAAUCAUAUAUUAUGCGUGCUUUUGUGUUCGGCUUCUUUUGUUCAGAAUUAUGCUUGUGGAAUUCAUCUAUGCCGUUGCAUAUUCCUGUGGUUUCAUUUCUUCUCAUAACUGUGUAGUGCUCCCUUUGGUGAUACACCACAAUUUAUUUAUUCAACUGUUGACAGGCAUUCGGUUGUUUCAUCAUGGGCUAUUACAAAUAAUGCUAUCAUGAGCAUUUUUUAGAUGUCUCUUGGUGCACGUGUGCAAAUCAUUUUGUUGGAUAUAUACUUAAGAGUGGAAUUGAUGGAUUAUGGGGAAUACCUAUCUUCGCUUUUAGUAGAUAUGAAAUUGUUUUCCGAAACAGUGGAACCAAUUAACUUUAUCACUGGUGUUCUUCAUGCUCCUUGCCAACACUGGGCAUUAUCCAUCCUUUUAAUUACAGUAAUUCUGGUGGGGUAUGUAGUGUCAUCUCAUUAUUGUUUUACAUCACAUUUUUUGAUUUGUUGAUGAGGCUGGACACUUUUUUAUAGGUCUGCUGGUCAUUGGGCUAUCCUCUUUUUGUGACGUACAUGCUCCAAAUCUUAUCCUGUUUUUCAAUUGGAUUGUCUUUUCUUUAUUUGUUGAAGUUCUUUUUAUAUUAUUGAAAAAAGCCAUUUAAGACUUAUAUGUGCUGCAAAUUCUUUUCCCUCUCUGUUGCUUGCCUUUUCAGUAUCUUAAUGGUGUCUUUUUUACACCAUAAUUGAAAUGUGGUCAACUAUAUUAGUCUUUCCCAUUGUGGUUAGUGCUUUUUAAAUGCCAUUUAAGACAUUUUUACUAAUUUGAUGUCCUGAAGAUAUUUUUCUGUAUUACCUUCUAGAUCAGUGUUGUCUAAUAAAAAUACUAAGUGAGCUGCAUACGUAAUUUAAAAUUUGUAGUAUCCACAUUAAGAGAGCAAAAUAAUCAGAUAAAACUAAUUUUAAUAUUGUGUUAUUUAACUCACUCCAAAUUAGUAUUUCAAAGUUUCAAUAUAAAAAUUGAGAUAUUUCACAUUGUUUUUUCCUGCUAAGUAAUUAAAAUCCAAUGCAAAUUUUACUUAAUAGCACAUCUCAAAUGUUCAGUAUCCAUACAUGGGCAGAGCAGUUCUAGAAGAUUUAUUGUUUUUACCCUUUCACAUUAUAUCUUAUGUUCCACCUGAAAAUGAUUUUUUGAAUGAAUUGUGAGGUAGAAAUCAUUACUUACUCAUUUGGGCAUCCAGUUGCCUUAAGACCACUUUAUUGAAUAUAAAGACAGUCCUAUCUUCACUGUUCUGUUAUGCUACUUUGGUAUUAAAGUGUCCACAUAUGUGUGUCUUGUUUCUGUAUUCUGUGUCAUUUGUCUAUUUUUCUAUGCUUGCACCAGUAUUACACUAUCUUAUUAUAAUUUUUAUAAUAAGUUUUGAUACCUGGUAAAGAAGAAUUUCUUCUUAGGAGAGUCUUGGCUACUCUUGACCCUUUACAUUUCCAUAUAAAUUAUAAUCAGCUUGCCAGGUUCUGCAAAAAUAUCUUUUGGAGUUUUGAUUGAGAUUGUAUUGAAUCUAAGGAUCAGUUUGAGGAGAGCACUUCUUUUUAUAUUAUCUGUUCAUCAGAUGCUCUCAUCUGGGUAGGAUCUGGACAUGCUGUGCCUUCCAGACUCUGCUACUUUUCCCUUUCUGGCGUGGAAGCAGCUAACUGAGAGGGAGGCUCAACCUUCAGCUUUGAUGAGAGCACUGGAGGGCCCCCUCCCUCUUUUUGCAGGAGACUUUCCUUAAGGGCAGAAAGUCCCUGGCAAGAUUCUGGAAUUCUAGGAUGAAGAAAAAUGAAGUCUGGGAGGAACCAGACCCAAAAAAACACAAUAAAAAACAAAACUCUGUCCCCUGUAUCUAUGUAGCAGGGGCCUUGUACACUGUGUGUGAGUUCUCAGGGGUCACCUGUUCUUGCAUUGACUUGAACCUAGGGCACAUCAACACAACUUACCCUACUUGAGAACAGAUUAACGCUUUUUACUCCUCACUCUCCUCUUUCUCUGUCAUCAGUCCUACAGUUUGCUUUGUGGUUUCAGACCAAGUUCCACUGAGAAACCAGUUCCAAAGGUAGAGGCUUGUAUGUCCUAGCUGACUAGACAGGAGAGGAAAGGAACAGACUGUCUUGGCCGGGCGGGCGGAUCACUUGAGGUCAGGAGUUUGAGACCAGCUUGGCCAACAUAGUGAAACCCCAUCUCUACUAAAAAUACAAAAAAUUAGCCAGGCAUGGUGGCGGGCGCCUGUAAUCCCAGCUACUCGGGAGGCUGAAGUGGGAGAAUCACUUGAACUAAGAGGUGGAGGUUGCAGUGAACCAAGAUCACACCACUGUACUCCAGCCUGGGCAACAGAGUGAGACUGUCUCAAAAAGAAGAAAAGACUGUCUAGAAAAAGGUAAUCUCUAGAAUCGGAAGAGGGUUAACAAAAUGAGGAUUAAGGCAAAAUACAGUUAGUAAUAAGAUAACAAGGAAUCUGCUCAUGGAAAAGGGGUCCUUGUAACUUACUGAGGCUGAACGUUGGUUUACCAUCUUACAUUUUCUACGUCCAUUAAAUCAGCCUUCUGGGAAUCCACAGUCCUGGCAAUUCUGAACUGCCCCAGUAGGAGGGAAGCCAUCUCUCCAGGGUGAGAUAGGUGAGCCAUCAGGUCUGGUUGUGGGAGUCCACAGUCCUGGCACUUCUGAACUGCCCCAGUAGGAGGAAAGCCAUCUCUCCAAGGUGAGAUUUGUGAGCUGUCAGGUCUGGCUGAGAGAAUCCACAGUCCUGGCAAUUCUGAACUGCCCCAGUAUGAGGGAAACCAUCUCCCCAGGGUAAGAUUUGUGAGACGUCAGGUCUGGUUGUGGGAGUCCACAGUCCUGGCACUUCUGAACUGCCCCAGUAUGAGGGAAGCCAUCUCUCCAGGGUGAGAUUCAUGAGCCAUCAGGUCUCGUUGGGAGAAUCCACAGUCCUGGCAACUCUGAACUGCCCCAGUAUGAGGGAAACCAUCUCUCCAGGGUAAGAUUUGUGAGUCGUCAGGUCUGGUUGUGGGAAUCCACGGUCCUGGCACUUCCGAACUGCCCCAGUAUGAGGGAAGCCAUCUCUCCAGGGUGAGAUUCAUGAGCCAUCAGGUCUCGCUGGGAGAAUCCACAGUCCUGGCAAUUCUGAACUGCCCCAGUAUGAGGGAAACCAUCUCUCCACGGUGAGAUUUGUGAGCCAUCAGGUCUGGUUGUGGGAGUCCACAGUCCUGGAAAUUCUGAACUGCCCCAGUAGGAGGGAAGCCAUCUCUCUAGGAUAAGAUGCAGGGGUGUACUAGGUUGUGGGGAUUAGAGUACAGGGGACUAGCAAGAGGUGCUAUGAGGAGGGCGAGGGGGAAAGAUAGGAGGACACUUGGAAAGGGGUGCCUGACGAGCAGGGCGGUGGCAUACGGACGCUCUGGAAUUGACAGAGGAAGAGCUGGGCAGGGAGUUCCGGGAGGUAGGGUGCUGGGAAGGGGCGACAUUAGUCAGCUGGGGGAAACGGGUAUGCUGGAAAACUGAACAGCUUGGACGGUCCUGGAGAGGAGGCUGAGGGCAGGAAGUUUGAGGAGUAAGGGGAGGAAGGAGGGCUGGAAGACGAGAGCCAGAAGGAACAGAAAGAAAUGGAGGCCAGGGUUGAGGCCGAGAAAUUGGAGGUAGCUUUCUGGUCAUUUUUCCAAAUGAGUGCUGUAGUAACUAACUCACUUGUCCAAACGAGUCAGAAUGAAUAACUGAGAUGUGCUGAGACUGACUCCAGCAUUUAUCUCCUCAGGACAUUCCAUCACAGAAUGCCUAUUAUGAAACAUACAUUUAUCUCCUUAGGACAUUUCUUGACGCAAUGCCCAUUAUGAAACAUACAUGCUCCCUUUUGUUCUAGCGAGGAGGCCCCAUCAAUCAGGGAAAUGGUCCCAGUUUCUCAGUUUAAGAGUGGUCAUGGGAUGUAGCAAAGAAAAUAAAUGGGUCUGUAAUUAUUGGUCCUUGUUCUUGGGAUACCAUGUAGUUUUGCCCCUCCAUAGGCAAAGAUUGAUCAAGGGGCUAACAGAGGCAGGGGCUUGGGGCCUAGGAGAGCAGUUCUGAAUCAGGAAUUGGGAAAAUGAGAAGUCAGUAUCCUAGUCUCUUUUCCUUACUACAUUGUUCAAAGCCCUUUCACAUCAUUUACCUCACUGUGUGAAUGCACAUGAUUAGAGAUGUUACGUUCAUUUUAUCAAUGAGGACACUAAAGACCAGAAAACGAACUACCAGUAGGCAUAAAGCAGGUGGGACUAGAACUUGGCCAGAAAGAGGGCUGGUGGGAGGGAGCACAGAAUGGCACAAAGUGCUUACCAGCAUCUUUGCCUCCUCCUAUGUCUCUGGACAGGAUCUUGGAGGAGGAGCUUAAGAGCAGAACUGUACUUUUCGUAGCUUACCUUUUAGUUCCUGUGUUCCCUUCGUUUGAUGCCUUUCUGUUCACUGGAACCAGAAACAUAAGGCCAAAGCUGGUACACUCUCUGCCCAUUGAAACUGUGCCCCAAAGAGCUGAAGAAAGCAGUAACAGAAAUCUUCGAGCUUGCAGGAUGGCAGAUAAGAAACAACUUGCUAAAAUAAAACUCCCUCCCCUUCUAAGAGAAUGAAAUUAGCUAAAAUUGGUUAAAACGAAUAUGGCCAAUGAAUAUAUGUAGAAUGAACUUGCUGAUAUCACAACCCAAAUUUCUACCACAUGUUUCAUACUGACUCCUCUUGUUUCAUACUAACUCCCCCUGAAUUUGUGUAUGGGAUCCAUGAGGAGGCAUGGAGAGAUAACUGUGCAUGCCUGAGGGACUUUGCAGAUGUUCCCUUUCCUUCUACCAACCACUUGCUAAUCCCAGAAUCAGCCCCCUAACCUGUUCUAAUAAAAGUACUGCCUUAAAGCCAGCACAGGGAGACAGAUUUGAGCUGGACUCCUGUCUCCUUGUUGAGUAACCUGCAAUGAAAAGCUUUUCUUUUCUCAAAAACCUGGUGUCAUAGUAUUGGCUUUGUAAACCAAAAAUAAAAUUCAAAGGCACCCCUGCAACCAUCCCAAUGGAUUCCCUCCUCAGCCAGGGCACCCUAAAAUUUAACCAAAAAAGACUGGUUCAGGCCUUGAAGCCAGGUGGAGGUUGAACUUGCUUCAUUAUACCCUUCCAGCAUUACUAUCAACACAGACCUUAAGAAACAUUUACAGUCUAUUCUCUCUAAAGCCUGAUACUUGGAGGCUUCAUCUGCAUGAUAAAACCUCCGCAACCCCUUGUCUUCACCCAGACAUUCUUUUCUAUAGAUAAAAACUCUUUCAGCCAAUUGCCAAUCAGAACAUGUUUAAGUGUACCUAUGACUUGGAAGCCUCCUUCUUUGAGUUGUCCCACCCUUCCAGAUCAAACCAAUGUAAAUCUUAAUAUAUUGGUGGAUGUAUUGAAGGGGGCCUGCCCCUCCACACCUGUGGGUAUUUCUCGCAAGGUGGAGACGAGAGACUGAGAAAAGAAAUAAGACACGGAGACAAAGUAUAGAGGACGAAAAGUGGGCCCAGGGGACCGGCGCUCAGCAAGUUAGGACCUGCACCAGCGCUGGUCUCUGAGUUCCCUCAGUAUUAAUUGAUCACUAUCUUUACUAUCUUGGUGAGGGGAAUGUGGUGUAACUAUAGGGUGAUGGUGGGGAGAGGGUCAGCAGAAAAACAUUUGAGCAAAGGAAUCUGUGUCAUAAAUAAGGAAAGGUGUUGUGCCUGGAUGUGCACGUAGGCUAGUUUUAUGUUUAACUUUACAUAAACAUCUCAGUGCGGUAAAAAGUAACAGAGCAGUAUUGCCACCAUGAUGUCUCGCCUCCAGCCAUAAGGCGGUUUUCUCCUAUCUCAGAAUAGAAUGUAUGCUCGGUUUUAAACCAAGUCAUUCCAUUCCCAGAGACAUGCAGGAAACAAAUGCCUUCCUCUUAUCUCAACUGCAUAGAAGUCUUCCUCUUUCACUAAUCCUCCUCAGCACUGACCCUUUACAGGUGUCGGGCUGAGGGGCUGUAAGGUCUUUCCCUUCCCACGAGGCCAUAUCUUAGGCUGUCUCAGUGGGGAGAAACCUGGACAAUACCCAGGCUUUCUUGGGCAGGGGUCCCUGCGGCCUUCCACAGUGCAUUGUGUCUCUGGUUAAUAGAGAAUGGACAGUGGCGAUGACUUUCACAAAGCAUACUGCCUGCAAACACAUUUUUAACAAAGCACAUCCUGCACAGCCCUGAAUUCCUUAAACCUCGAGUCAAUACUGUCAGGCCUCUGAGCCCAAGCCAACCCAUCGCAUCCCCUGUGACUUGCACGUAUAUGCCCAGAUGGCCUAAAGUAACUGAAGAAUCACAAAAGAAGUGAAAAUGCCCUGCCCCGCCUUAACUGAUGACAUUCUACCACAAAAGAAGUGUAAAUGGCUGGUCCUUGCCUUAACUGAUGACAUUCCCCCACAAAAGAAGUGAAAAUGGCCGGUCCUUGCCUUAAGUGAUGACAUUACCUUGUGAAAGUCCUUUUCCUGGCUCCUCCUGGCUCAAAAACCUUCCUUACUGAGCACCUUGUGACCCCCACUCCUACCCACCAGAGAACAAACCCCCUUUGACCGUAAUUUUCCUUUACCUACCCAAAUCUUAUAAAACGGCCCCACCCCUAUCUCCCUUCGCUGACUCUCUUUUUGGACUCAGCCCGCCUGCACCCAGGUGAUUAAAAGCUUUAUUGCUCACACAAAGCCUGUUUGGUGGUCUGUUCACACGGACACGCAUGAAAAAUACAGCACAUGUUUCUGUGAGCACAGGGUUGGGACAAGAGUUACAGAUUAACAGCAUAUCAGAGCAGAACAAUUUUUCUUAGUGCAGAUCAAAAUGGAGUUUCUUAUAUCUUCCUUUUUCUACGUAGACACAGUAACAAUCUGAUCUCUCUUUGUUUUCCCCAUAAUGUAUUAUGUCUCCAUAAAAUGUAUAAAAGCAAGCUGGAGCCCAACCACCUUGGGCAUGUGUCCUCAGGACCUUCUAAGGCUGUGUCACAGGUACGUCUUUAACCUUGGCAAAAUAAACUUUCUAAAUUGAUUCAGACUUGUCUCAAAUACUUUUUGGUUUACAAAUUGGCAACCGAUGAAAGAGACUCUGAGUAUAGGUGGCCUCAACCUUUGACAAAUCUAUUGAUAUUUAGUACCAGCUUUUAGCUAUCUUUAUGGUCGAAACCAAUAGGACAAUUGGCUGAGACCUGGGAGCCCUCCUCCCUCCAGAGAAUCCUGAUCUCCCCAAAUUUGGUUGAGAUCCAAAGUGUCUUUUGCUGUACAACUCCUUUUCUAGAGUUUUACUUGCUUCCAACAAGGAAAGCAAGUUUUCCUGCUUCCAUGACAAUAGAAGGCAGGUAACUCCUUUCUGGAGUUAGAGCUCACUUCCAACAGAGAAGGCGAGUUUGAGUUUUCCUGCUUCUGGAAUGGUAGAGAGCAGUCUUCAGCCUGAGACCCAUUCCUAGGUAAGUGACUGAAUUGGGGUUUCAUCUUGGUUAAAGUUAUGAUGCAGCUGGUCGUAGUUUCUCCUUACUGUUACAGCGCUCAGUAAUCAUAUUGUUGGGUUUUUGUUGUUGUUUGUUCUGGUCUUUCUCCCAUCAGAUUUGACCAAUUCUGCCUGACUUAGUCAAAUCUGAAUAAAAAUUCCAAAUUGUAGGGAACAAGGCCUCUCUGAAUUAGCUAAAAUUCCUUGCUGCUGUGAAAGAAAAAAAAUCAAUUUCUGGUUACUUCCUGUCUUUAAAAAAAAAUUGUUCUUUCAUUUACUUUUUCUCUACCCUAUUCCUCCUUCCCCACUUUGCCAUACUCAGUACGAAGAAAAAUCUAGAGAUGACUCAAACCCCUUAAAGAACACAGAACAAAGGCACCACUCACCCCAUUUGGGGGUGUUCUGUUUUCUUUGUGGAGUUUCAAGGGUCAUGGGCAGAUUCUUCAUAGGUCUAAAGUUCUGCUUUCCUGUAUUACAUUACCUCACCUCUUUGGCUUUUGUGAGUAGCAGAGAUUACCUUGUACUGUGAGAGGAUUUGACCUUGAUGUGUGUACUGGUGGAUGAGAGCUACAAAGUUAAAGCUGACUGAGGACAGUUUACAGGAAGCAGUCUUCACUGUUUUGUUUUUUCCACCUAGGAAGUUGUUUAGGAUCCUAAUUCUAAUUCAGAGGUGCACUCUACAGAGUCUUCUCCAUUGCCUUUCCUCUCAAAAUUAAUCUUGAUUGGCUUCUCUGGGCAUUUGCGUAAGGAACUGAAAGUCAUUUUCAUAGAUAAAUGAGAGAAUGAGUUUCCUCAGCUCCCUAAAGGGCAUUUUGCUUCUCCCAGCUGAAAGCCUCCCCUGGAUUACUAGGGGCUAAGUGGGAGUGUCUAGUGGGUUGACCCCCAGCAACGUGCAGCAGCCCUACAGGGAACCCCCAACAAAAUUAGUUUUAAAAGGCUUGUCCAAGAAAUGAAUAUAGGAGCUGGUCGUUCCAUGCUUUGAGCCCUCCUGGAGGUGCUAGACCUCUGGAGACAAAAAUGACUCGGUGGAUAACACGCUAUGGAGUCCUGCCAAUAACCGGCACACUUCAACCCAUUCCACUAAACCCUAGGCCUUUAAAAAAAAAAAAAAAAAAAAGGUGGGAAACAA
Molecule: long non-coding RNA, 9883 nt
Organism: Gorilla gorilla gorilla (western lowland gorilla)
Lineage: Eukaryota; Metazoa; Chordata; Mammalia; Primates; Hominidae
Exons: 2
Source: RefSeq, a predicted model, not a curated record